This 763-nucleotide ribosomal RNA is filed under the name Rubroboletus rhodoxanthus. RNAcentral describes it as "eukaryotic LSU rRNA". It matches the Rfam family "Eukaryotic large subunit ribosomal RNA", at positions 100 to 861 of the family's 3401-position model. The record is from RNAcentral. Lineage: Eukaryota; Fungi; Basidiomycota; Agaricomycetes; Boletales; Boletaceae.
GGGAAGAGCUCAAAUUUUGAAUCUGGCGGCCUUCGGUCCGUCCGAGUUGUAAUCUAGAGAAGCGUCUUCCGCGCUGGACCGUGUAUAAGUCUCCUGGAAGGGAGCGUCGUAGAGGGUGAGAAUCCCGUCUUUGACACGGACUGCCAGUGCUAUGUGAUGCGCUCUCGACGAGUCGAGUUGUUUGGGAAUGCAGCUCAAAACGGGUGGUAAAUUCCAUCUAAAGCUAAAUACAGGCGAGAGACCGAUAGCGAACAAGUACCGUGAGGGAAAGAUGAAAAGAACUUUGGAAAGAGAGUUAAACAGUACGUGAAAUUGCUGAAAGGGAAACGCUUGAUGUCAGUCGCGUCGCCCGGGGAUCAACCUUGCUUCUCGCUGGGUGUACUUCCCGGUCGACGGGUCAGCAUCAGUUUCGGUCGCCGUACAAGGGUGAGGGGAACGUGGCACCCUUCGGGGUGUGUUAUAGCCUCUCGUCGUAUGCGGCGGUCAGGACUGAGGAACUCGGCACGGCUUCACGCUUGUGCUUAGGAUGCUGGCAUAAUGGCCUUAAGCGACCCGUCUUGAAACACGGACCAAGGAGUCUAACAUGCCUGCGAGUGUUUGGGUGACAAACUCGAGCGCGUAAUGAAAGUGAAAGUUGAGACCUCUGUCGUGGAGGGCAUCGACGCCCGGACCUGAGUCUUUGACGACGGAUCUGCGGUAGAGCAUGCAUGUUGGGACCCGAAAGAUGGUGAACUAUGCCUGAAUAGGGUGAAGCCAGAGGAAA